This 66-nucleotide transfer RNA is filed under the name Rimicaris variabilis. Its description in RNAcentral is "tRNA-Leu". Lineage: Eukaryota; Metazoa; Arthropoda; Malacostraca; Decapoda; Alvinocarididae. RNAcentral also lists the same sequence under 2 other names. The record is from RNAcentral.
UUCUAAAAUGGCAGACCAUUGCAUAGGAUUUAAGCUCCUAAUAGGAAAUUCUUUUUCUUUUAGAAU